This is a non-coding RNA of Paramuricea clavata, 1140 nucleotides long. Lineage: Eukaryota; Metazoa; Cnidaria; Anthozoa; Malacalcyonacea; Plexauridae. The record is from the annotation of a GenBank genome assembly.
GUGGAAUAGUUGACAAUCAUUUAUUUACCAGUUUUAGUGGAACCAUUGUAAACAUUGUGUAGACGGUUUCAUAUUAUUACAUACCAUAUGUGGUACAUACUGCUAUUGUUAAAGACGAUGUAAAGUCUGUUCUGCACAUGCAUUCUGCAGGCCUACAUUCCAAUGAUCGGGAACCGACCAUUGGAAUGUUAUUAAUAUUUCGCACCUUCCAAACUUUCUAGAAUUGAAUCUCUGGUCUGUAUUCAUUUACAAACAUAGCAAACCAGAAGAAUUAAAAUUCAGCAUAAUAUAUAUGAUAUAUAUCUAAUAUAGCACUGGGUUCAGAAUGUAAACAAAGGGUUUGUUUACAUAAUUACAUACUUUACAUGGCCUUUAAUGAAACCUUUUUUGGCUACUAACACCAAUGUUUCUGACAGUGUUGUACAGGUAAUACUGUAAACAGAAACAAUAUAUUAUAUCAUCAAACAAUUCUAUCAAACAAGUUGCAAAAGAAUUCAAAUGCUGUUUCAGCUGUUUAAUUGUCGCAUUCAAACCAUGAUGAUUCAUACAUGUACAGUUCAAUUAAAAAAUCCCAAAUCUUGUAUAAACACAGUCCUAGCAUACGUGUACGCUUGUAAGUCUUGUACGCUUGAAUUUCUUUUCAAUAAUAACACUCCAAUAUAGUAGAUCAAGGAUAUAUGCCAUCAUUCCCAUCAAUAUACUCACUCAGAGAGUCAGAGUGAACCAAGAGUAUGAAUUAUUACCAUAACGAAGUCUGUUAUUUUGCCCAAAUGAAUUAAAGUAUGCAAAAAUCAACUACUUAAUCCCUUCACCACUAUUUCGGACGAAAAGCAACAAAAAAUUCGUCGAAAUAAGCACAUUUUCAGGCAAAAUAUUAGCAAAUAUAUCGUAUUCACUCAUAUUGGCCGCGCAUGUGAACGCCACAGGGGGUAUGGGUCCAAUAGCUUAUGGAUCGACCAAUCAGGAUCGUUUUUCAAUCCCGUGUGGCCAGAGCCACUCAACGAUGGCUCUGGGUACGAGAUUGCUGAGCGCGAAGAACGUGUUCCUCCGACCCAGGCUUUUGCAGUGAAUUUGACUUGCGCGACUUUUUUUUCAAAAAUGGCAAAAUUUGAGUGUUUGAGCCGUUGUAUCUCAGAAACU